AUUGAACGCUGGCGGCAGGCUUAACACAUGCAAGUCGAACGGUAACAGGAGAGAGCUUGCUUUCUUGCUGACGAGUGGCGGACGGGUGAGUAAUGCUUGGGAAUCUGGCUUAUGGAGGGGGAUAACGACGGGAAACUGUCGCUAAUACCGCGUAGAGUCGAGAGACGAAAGUGCGGGACCGCAAGGCCGCAUGCCAUAGGAUGAGCCCAAGUGGGAUUAGGUAGUUGGUGGGGUAAUGGCCUACCAAGCCGACGAUCUCUAGCUGGUCUGAGAGGAUGACCAGCCACACCGGGACUGAGACACGGCCCGGACUCCUACGGGAGGCAGCAGUGGGGAAUAUUGCGCAAUGGGGGCAACCCUGACGCAGCCAUGCCGCGUGAAUGAAGAAGGCCUUCGGGUUGUAAAGUUCUUUCGGUGACGAGGAAGGCGUGAUGUUUAAUAGGCAUCACGAUUGACGUUAAUCACAGAAGAAGCACCGGCUAACUCCGUGCCGGCAGCCGCGGUAAUACGGAGGGUGCGAGCGUUAAUCGGAAUAACUGGGCGUAAAGGGCACGCAGGCGGCUAUUUAAGUGAGGUGUGAAAUCCCCGGGCUUAACCUGGGAAUUGCAUUUCAGACUGGGUAGCUAGAGUACUUUAGGGAGGGGUAGAAUUCCACGUGUAGCGGUGAAAUGCGUAGAGAUGUGGAGGAAUACCGAAGGCGAAGGCAGCCCCUUGGGAAUGUACUGACGCUCAUGUGCGAAAGCGUGGGGAGCAAACAGG
This 759-nucleotide ribosomal RNA is filed under the name Aggregatibacter segnis. Its description in RNAcentral is "bacterial SSU rRNA". It matches the Rfam family "Bacterial small subunit ribosomal RNA", at positions 28 to 776 of the family's 1533-position model. The record is from RNAcentral. Lineage: Bacteria; Pseudomonadati; Pseudomonadota; Gammaproteobacteria; Pasteurellales; Pasteurellaceae.